Long non-coding RNA from Diabrotica virgifera virgifera (western corn rootworm), 21515 nucleotides. RefSeq lists it as uncharacterized. NCBI's taxonomy places the organism in Eukaryota, Metazoa, Arthropoda, Insecta, Coleoptera, Chrysomelidae. The transcript is spliced from 4 exons. The record is from RefSeq and is a predicted model, not a curated record.
AACCGAGGAAGUGCUACAGUUAUUUGGUAAAACUUUCACAAUAUGAGUCGACUAAGUAAAAAUUUACAUAUUAAUUUUAAAGAAUAUUGGGAGAAAAGUGGUAUAUAAUUUUUGUUAAUAUUUUAAAUUUGCGACGGAUGAAUUCAAAAUUAGCAAAGUUAGACUAACAAAAAGAAUACUCAAGUGAAUAUGUGCAUUAAAUAAAAAAAUGUGAAGUGAUUUGAUUAAAAUUUAGUAAACUUGUAUUAUAAUGGCAUAAAAUCAAAGUGUGCAUUAGUGUAAACUGAACAAAAAGUGCAAAGUGCAACUAAUAGCAGAUUGUGUAGGCUCACUAUUAAAUUUUAUUUAUAAAUAAUGUUUCACAUUUUUAUAUUUGCAAUUAUUAUCUAUACGUAAAUCCCUUUAGUUCUAAAUAUGUGCAAUAUUUAUUUUAUUCAUUAUUGUUUUAAUUUUUACACACACAUCUUUCUCUUUUUGUUUUUUCGGGGUUUUUUAUUAAGCGGGGAAUUUUCUCGUUUGUUUAAAAUACUUUAUAUUUCUGCUAUGUAUCCAUUUCUUUUCUGCUAUGUUACGCUAUAAUGUGACUUACGCUCUUUUAGUUUUAUCAUGUUGGAAAAGUACAAUAAUUAUUAAAAUUUACGUCUUCGAAUAACAUAGAUUUGGGAUCCAUCGUUUGAUAUUUGAUACGACGUGACGUUUCAGAAAGAAAUUUACCUAGUUUUUUAAAGAACAUAGUUACAAUAAUUGUACACUCAGUCAAAUCAAUUUUAUAAUCAACAAUUUUACAAUAUUUAAUGCAAAUAAUACACAUAAUAAGUAUUAAAAAUUAAAAUACUAAUAUUGUAUGGUUUAAAUUAAAAUACAAUAUUGACAGCAUGACAACGACAUCUGUGAGAUAUUUUUUGACAUCAGCAACUUCGGUUAUUGUCGUCAGGCGAGAGGACAUCGAAAGAUCGAGAUGAAAAAAAGAAAGAAAAUCAAGCUGCCUAUCUCACACAUCAUACCAUCUAAAAGGAAGAAAUUGUUUCUGUAAUACAACGUGAAUUAUUUUUGCGAACUCAUCCCCGCAAAUCGUACCGGUGAUAAAGGAAAGGAAAAUUUAUAAAAAAGACAAUGGUAGUCUUCGCUAUGGACGUUCGUGAUGUAGCCAUUACAGUGGCUGUCGUUUUUACCGCCAUCUUUAUUAUCGUGACCAUAUUGAAGUAUACUAGUAAUAAGAUGAAAAUAGAAGAUGGUAUCUAUAUAAAAAUGAUAUACAUCCUAGUUGGUAUUAUAGCUAUUGCUAUUAUAUGGUGCUUUGUCAUUAAAAAAUAUAAAGUAGUCCAACAACAACAGCAAACCAAAAGCAACAAUAAUAAUAUGAGUUCUCCACUUAUACCACUUUCAACACUGUCUCAAGUUCAACAAAAAGUUACUUUGGAAUACGUCAAUGAGAUGGAGAAGUAAUUAUAAUAAAAAUUGACUCUCUAGUUAACAGCUUUCCAGUAAUGAUCUAAGACUAAAAUAUUGGAACAAAAAUUUGAUAGACGACUAUAAAUUAGUUACAAUUGAGUAUUAUUUUAAAUAAUUUUUAUUUCUUACUUAUUCUAGCUAUCUAUAGAUGUAUUCCAAUUUAAAGAGAAACACGUUUAGAGAGAUUUUUAACAAUUUAAUUUGCAGAAAAUGACUUGUGUUAAGUCAAUAAGCAAUUACUGCCAAAGCAUAAUAUGUGAUUAUUAAAAAAAAAUUUGUAAUAAUUAAAAAUGAUUAGUUCCUAUAUUAUAUUAAAUCGUAUCCAGUAUUUGAGCAAUGUGAUUUUUAAGUAACCUGCUAAAAUGUUUAGCUUAACAGUUUGGUGUAAUUCUAUUAUGCAUCUUCUUCCGAAGUGACACGGAAUAAGUGUUUUCGAAAUAUAAACUAUUUUGCGGAAUAUAUCAAUUAUUCAAUGAAAGCAUAAAAUAUAAAAUUAUGUCUUUAUUAUCUUUUAUUUGGGUAACUUGUGUAAAACUCUAAUACUUCAGGAAUCGAAGCAUUCAAAAAUUGAAACAUUACUGACCACUAUUACUGGAAAAUCUGGGGAAAGUUAAUUGAAAAGGCGUACCUCGUGGGUAUCGAACUUUCUACUGCGUCAAGGUUUUUUAUUAACAUUUAAGCAAAAAUUGCCUUUUUUCAUUGAUGCCAAUGUUCUGAAAAGCUACGAAUUUUAGAUGAGAACGUUCAACAGAUGACUUUAUUGAAAAUACUUGCUCUUUAACCAAGAACAUCUUUAACUAAAUUAAAAAAUGUGUAUCUACAUAUAAACUUUUUUUCAAUUGUUUAUAAUUAUUAAAAUAAAUAAUAAAAAUAUUUAAAACAUAUUUCACAAUAUACUUACUAAAUAUUUGUGAAAUUACUAUACAGGAUUUUUGGUAACGGAUGGGCUAUAGCUUAACCUUCCUUAACCUUAGUUUCCUGAGGUUAAAAUGGUUUGAAUUAAGCUAACUUACCUUAGUGCAAAAGUUGACAUAUCAUAUCCCUUCUACCAUACAAUGGUGAAAGGUUGCAACUUUAAUCUACCAACUUAACAUAUCUAGUUUUACAUACUUACUAAUAUACAAAUUAUACCUUUACAUCUAAUUCUAAAAUUCUAAUUAAUUUCAUUAAUUCUAUAAAAUAUCAGUUAUAAGGGUUUAUUUCGAAUCAUUUGACAUGGAAAUCACAAAAGUCAUUUUUAAAACCUUUUUAUAUACUUGGGUUGGUUGGUGUCACAGACUGCGCAAAUUUUGUAAUCCAUUUUAAAAAUAGUUCUAGGCUACCUAGACACCUGCAAUUUUCAGGAUAGCUUAGAACUAGCUAACAAUGCAAUAUUUUACUGCUAUUAUACAGGGUGAUUAAUAAUUAGUGGGGUGAAGCUCCGUAGAUCCGUUAUAAUAAUGUAUAGCGAUAAAACUUAAUAACAAAAAUUGUAGCGAACUUUGAGCUUCACAUUACAAAAUUAGUUAGAGUGUUACAGGGUGUUCGAUAACAUAGUGACAGACAAAAUUUAUGUUUUUUUUAAUAGAACACCCUGUAUUUUAUUUUAUAUUCGAAAUCUUCGUAACUUUUCGAUUACAAAAAUGUAAAUGUUUGGUAUGUUAUACGGGGUAUUUACAAAGUUAUAACCAAUUUUAUAUGAAAAUCGUAACAAGUUUAACUACCUGUAUAAAUAAAAGCAAGCACAAGGUCAAUGGUUUGUUGACGUCAUAUUUUUUUAUUUAUUGUCAAAAUUUUCGUUAGAACACCCUGUAUUUUAUAUCAUUAUCGAAAAGUACCAUUACAAUACUAUAAUUUUUGUAUAACAUUCCCUAUGUAUAAAUUUAUUAGUUUUUCGAGAUAUUUUCAUUUUUCACAGCAAAAUUAUUAAUAAUUACGGGUCUAAAUCUUUCCAAAUUUUAAGUAACCCAUUACUGAAUAAUUGUCUAAAACUUAUAAUUUACGAUUACUGAUUAUCAACCUGUAAUCAAAGUUGGCUACAAUUUUUGUUAUUAACUUUUAUUACUAUCUCGGAGGUUACACCUCCUAGGCUUCUACAAUUUGCAAGCCAUACGGAUGCUGAGACUAAGGAAGAUGAGGGAAUCAGGGAGAGCAGCAUAUGUGCCUCCUGAUGAGAGACUAAUUAGUUUCGAAACCGGUAGAGGUGCUUGCUGCACUCUCUGAUUGGACUAGAAUAUGGUUCGGCUGUAUUUUCGUUUUGCAACGAAAUUUAAAAUGGUUAUAUUCAUUUUUAAAUAAUUAAAAGUUUAUAUACUUAAAAUUAUAUAUACCAUUUUAAACAACCGUGGUACUAUAAAAAAAUACUAUUUUAUACUAGUGUAGUUUUUCGAAUCAUAAUUAGAAAUAACAAUUAGUACACCUACUAAAAAUUCAUAUUUUAUAAGUUAAUUAUUCUUUCCAAACAUGUUGUGUCCUAGAUGUACAAUAACAAAACCGUGAUAUUAUAAAAAGUAUUUUUUUAUUAGAGUGAAAUUCUUGUAAUUUUAAGCUUGUUAUCGUUAAAUCGUUUAUCGUUAAAUUAUUUUAUAUUCUUUCCUAUAAAAAUAAUAAAAAGGUUUUAUUAUACAAAAAUUCUUUUUUAUAAAAGUGUAAUUAUUUUACAUAUCCUAGCUACUGUUGUUUUGAGGCGACGACUUUUACCAGGUACUUUAAAAUUAUUUGACAUAUUAUUAUCAUCCUCAUCAUACUUGGCAGGAGGUGUCGGUACUAUACAGUUAUAUACCAUACUAAAUUAUAUUAAAUAAUCGUUUCUGGCUACUAGCAGAGGCGUACGAUAGAGAAAAGUGAAUGGUUGAUCCUUCCCAAAUUCUACGCCACUGACGGUACAGCUACUUUGAUAUAAUUUUUAGAUCCGCCAGUACUUUGUAUGUAAUAAUGUACUGUUCAUUAAUAACGAUACAGUCAUUAGCUUUCGAGAUAUUUGAAGUUAAAAAUGAAACGGCACAGUUAUUUUGAUUAAUGUAUUAUGCCACUUUGUUUUAAAUUUCAAAUAUCUCGAAAACUAAUGACAUUAUCGUUACGAAAGAAGCGUACCUUAUUUACAUAGAAAGUAUUAGAGAAUCCAAAAAUGCACUAAAAUAGCAAUCCCGCCAGUUGCGUAGAAUAUGGUAAGGGUCUUUCCUUCGUCGUACGCCACUGUUAAUAGCCAAAAACGUUUGUUUAACAUAAUUUAGUAGGGUGUACAGUAUCUACACUUUUUGUCAAUUAUAACAAGGAUAUGUCAAAUGGUUUUUAGUAACUACAAUGAAAUGCAAAAAAUUGAAAUUUGCAUCGUAGAUUUAAAAUGCGUUUAUUUCAAAAACAGUUGAGUUUAGCGAGAUGAAUGUAGUAUACUUUUUUUAAUUAAAAAUAAUAGUGGAAUAAAAGUUUUGAUCUCAAAAUUAUGUAUAAUGGGGGAUAAAAAAAAUUGAACGUAUUAAAUGAGCGCUGAAAGACGUAUGUGGCGCCCUCAGGUAAUAUCCAUAAUAUAAGGAGAUAGACUUUACGAAGAGAAGAAAAUCAAGAGAGCCCUUCUAAAUAUUAACAAAGCACCUUUACAGCCAUUUGAAAAUGAUCUUUUUGUCUCAAAUGGAAUAAACAAAUAAUCUUCUUCUUCUUCAGGUGCCAUCUCCGCUACGGAGGUUGACAAUCAUCAUAGCUAUUUUUAUUUUUGAGGCAGUAGCUCUAAAUAGUUGUUUUGAGCUGCAGCCAAACCAUUCUCUCAGGUUCUUCAGCCAUGAAAAUCGUCUUCUUCCGAUGUUUCUUCUGUCAUCUAGCUUUCCUUGCAUUAUGAGUCGCAGGAUACCAUCAUACUUCUCGCCCCGCAUCACAUGUCCGAGAUACUUAAUAACACUCAGAUACUUAAUUAUAUUAUUUACAACAAAUAAUAGAAUUGUUUACUACUCAACCGAUCAGAUUCAUCUUUGACACAUAAAUUAUAGGUAGUAACACAGCCACCUUUACUUUACAAACCAUGAAGAGAAAAACGCAACGUCGCAAUUGAUGACGUCGGCAGUCUGCCUUUCGGACUACCGCUUUCGAAACCACGACUUUAAAAUACAAAUUCAAGUAAAAUUUAUAGUAAUUUUUGAGUCAAACAGGAAAAUGUAUUAACUAGAAGGUUUUACAAAAUCAAAUUAAAAGUAAUUCUUUGUAAGUAACUGUUAUUAUACAAAAAAAAAACAAUGACAAGAAUAUGUGUAAUAUACUUUAUUUUAAAUAAAUAAUAUCUUAUUUUAAAUUAUAUACAAAAUAUCGCUAGAAAUAACUAUAAAAACAAUUGCUCACAAUGUUUGAUGUGCAUUGUUGGGGUUUAGAGUAGAUAACUUUCUUUUUUGUUAUCGCCCUUAAUCGUUAUUUUUCUUUUUAUACUUUUUUGAAGAUUCAUUACUUUGAUGGCUGCUAUUUUUGUAUAAUUAUCUAAAACAAUAUUACGCAUAAUUUUUAUAACAGUAGAAUAAACUUUGAAGGCAUUUUCCCCACAUUCACACUAAAAUUAAAAUGUUAAAUUAAACCCUUCAUGCUGUUGUAAACUUUUCAUUACCAAAGAUGAUAAUAACACCGCAGGUGACAAUAAUUAUUUUGCAAAAAUAAUUUUUUAAGAUUGGGAUUGUUAAUAAUAGGGGUUCAAAGGAGUAGUGAUGCGCAAUACAUACAAGGUGUCGCUUGCUCAUAACACCUCUAGCCACUCCUACUCAAUUCCUAUGCUCACCUCCAAGAAGUGUGACUUAGUCACACGGGUGGACCCUGGUAAACCUGAGCAACCCUUCCGGAGAUUGGGUAACCAACCCCAGUGGAAAGUAGAAUCGAGAAUUUCUGAUCAAUGCUCUGAAAGAGUUUAAUAUUCCAACUCAUCUCAUUGGAAUAGUAAAAGAAACACUUAAAGUACAAAGCAGGGUUCGAAUUGAAAACGCACUAACAGAUACAAUCCAUGUUAGAACGGGCCUACGACAGGGAGAUGCCCUAUCCUGUAUUCUAUUCAACAUCACAUUGGAGAAAAUAAUUAGAGAGUCAAAAGUCAACCCCAGAGGAACAGUAAUAACAAAAAGUGUACAAAUGUUGGCAUUUGCAGAUGAUGUUGAUAUCAUAGCUAGAAAAGCUAGAAGCGAAAGAGAAAUGAUAGAAGCAUUUAAUGCUAUAGAAAGAGCGGCACAAAACAGUGGCCUAAAUAUUAAUGAAAUAAAAACCAAAUACAUGAAGGCCAGCAAAUCGACAGGCCAAAGAAACCUACAGAAUCUGAAAAUAGGAGACUAUAACAUCGAAAGCGUAAAAAAAUUUACAUAUCUAGGUUCACUGGUUACCGCAGAUAACAAUGUCAGCGAAGAAGUUAAGAGAAGAAUACAUAUUGCUAAUAAAACAUUUAAUGAACUCAUUAAAUAUCUAAGAUCUAACAACAUCACGAGAAAAACCAAAUGCAAAAUAUACAAAACCCUGAUAAAACCGGUCCUUAUAUAUGGAUCAGAGACAUGGACACUGACGAAAAGCGAUGAGAACUUAUUAGGUACGUUUGAACGAAAAAUCCUUAGACACAUAUAUAAGGGGGUGAAAGAAAAUGACGUAUGGCGCAGAAGAUAUAAUUUUGAACUACACGCAGCAUACAGUGAACCCGACGUCAUAACAUCCAUAAAGAUCGGACGUCUGCGCUGGAUGGGCCAUGUUGAACGAAUGUUGAAGACCGAAACACCAAAACACAUAAUGAAGCAAACACCAGUAGGUAGAAGGUCAAAGGGAAGACCCAAACUUAGAUACAUGGAACAAGUGGAACAAGAUCUGAAAACACUUGAGAUUACCCACUGGAAGAACAAAGCAAGGAACAGAACAGAAUGGCGGAAAAUCCUAGAACAAGCCAGGACCCAAAAGGUUGUCGAGCUACUGAUGAUGAUGAUGAUUGUUAAUAAUAAAUUCAAAUGUUAAACAAAGGUGAUAAUAAAUAAAUUUUACUGAAUCCUUUGCUAAGCACAAACCAUCCCUUUGCAAAUAAUCAUAGUAAUCUGCUCCAGUUGUCUCUCCUUUACUGCAAAAAACAAGCUGUUUGAACUAGAAUAAUCUUACCUAAUAACAUACCUUUGGAAGAUCUUUAUAAUUUGUAGCAAGAAAUACUGUAAAAUUUUUCAGUUUCCCUGUAAAUAUGGUGGCUAUUGUUUACCAACAAAUGAGAACUGACAGACUUAACCACCAUGACAGUCUACCAUUAGAUGUUGCCAAGUUUUAACUUCAUGGCUUGUUAAGUAAAGCUGUGGUAGUAACUACAUAAAAGCUCAUAUCAUGAAAAUAUGUUUCAAAUUUUUCAAUUUGCUUUUUGUUAAACAUUUUUUAAUUUAGAAAAUAUCAUUUCAAAGACCAAGUAUAUUCAAGAAAGUCAUCUGUUGAACGUUUUCCUAUACAAUUCGUAGUUUUUUUACAAAUUGAAAUGAAUGAAAAAGUCGCUUUUUGCUUAAAUGUUAAUAAAAAACCAUGAAGAAGAAAAAAUUUCAAUACCCACGAGAUGGUAGGCAUUUUCUCUUGACUUCUCACAGAUAUUUCAGUUAAAAAAUAGCGAUCAGUAAUUUUUAGUUUUUUAAGUGAUUCUUCGGCUUCCUUUCCUGGGGUAUAACUUGAUUUUAAACUUUGGGUACAUUCAUUAUUUGAAUGAUAAUCUUGAAUUUUUAAUUUUAAUAUGGCAGUACAAAUGCUGAAAACGCUUUAUUCAAUCUGAAUCUGGAAGUAAAUGUUUAUAAUUCAAUUUCUAUAAUGGGUGUCCACUUAUAUUUUCCCCAAUUUUAACUGCCUAUAACUUCUAAACGGCUCAAGAUAGAAAUAUGUGGUUUUCGCUGAAAUGUUUUAUUUUAGUAAAAGUUUUGUCUGAAUGGAUUGAAUUUUUUAUAUCGCUCUUCAAUACGAAAAUAAAAAUGGCGGAUUUUUGAAAAAAAACGUUGUUGACUUUUUUUUUAAUGGAACAUCCAGUAUAUUUUUUUGUAAAUUGAAAGAAAGGUUAUUCACCUAUCGAGCGAUAUAAAGUUUUUCAAAAUCAGUUGUCAAAUCACUGAGUAAUUAAUUUUUAAAUUGAGAGGUGCAACGUGGAUAUCACAUACCUAAAUAACAUAACUAAGCAAAUUGAUAUUAUGUUAUGUGAUUUUCACAUUGCAUCUCUCAUUUUAAAAAUUAAUUGCUCAGUUUUUCAAGUUUUUAGGUAAAUGACCAUUUUUUAUAUCGCUUUUAAAUAAAAAAUGGCGGAUUUAAAAGAAAAACGUUGUUAACUUUUUUUAUUAAAACACCCAGUAUACUUUUUUGUAACUUGAAAAAAACGGUCAUUUACCUAUCCAUCGAUAUCAAAUUUUUUAAACUCGGUUGUCAAAUGACUGAGCAAUUAAUUUUUAAAAUGAGAGAUGCAAUGUGGAAAUCACAUAACAUAAUAUCAAUUUGCUUCGUUAUGGUAUUUAGAUAUGUGAUAUCCACGUUGCACCUCUCAUUUUAAAAAUUAAUUACUCAGUGAUUUGACAACAGGUUUUUAAAAACUUUAUAUCGCUGGAUAGGUUAAUGACAUUUCUUUCAAUUUACAAAAAAAUAUAUACUGGGUGUUCCAUUAAAAAAAAGUCAACAACGUUUUUUUUUUUCAAAUAUCCGCCAUUUUUAUUUUCAUAUUUGAAAGCGAUAUAAAAAUAUAAAAAAUUUAAUCCAUUCAGACAAAACUUUUACUAAAAUAAAACAUUUCAGCGAAAACCGCAUAUUUCUAUCUUGAUCCGUUUAGAAGUUAUAGGCAGUUAAAAUGGGGAAAAAUAUAAGUGGACACCCGGUAUUAUACAGCGUGCCCCAAAAGUAGCAGAACGGUCGAAUAUUUCGUAAACUAAACAUCGGAGCGAAAAACUGAAAAACAAGUUUUAAAUAAUUUUUAAAAAUCUAUUCAAUGACACCAACCGCAAUCCCCCACUCCAUCCCCUGGUGGUUGGGUGGGGGGUAACUUUAAAAUCUUAAAUAGAAACCCCCAGUUUUUAAUCCAGAGAUUCCUUCUGUAAAAGUAAGCAACUUUUAUUUGAGACAUUUUUUCGAAUUGUGGAUAGAUGGCGCUAUAAUCGGAAAAAACAAUUUAUUGUAAUACCAUGGCUAAAUUAUAAAAACGCUCUAAUAUCUCGAGAUGAGAUACCUUCAAAUGAAAAACCAAAAAAUAUGUGUAUAAUAUUUUUCAAAAACCUAUCGAAUAACACUAAACAUGACCCUCUACCUCACCCCCUACAGGUGGGGUGGGGGUUAACUUUAAAAUGUUAAAUAGCAACCUAUAUUUUUUUACCGAUUUGGAUUAAUCAUCAAAAAUUGAGUAACAUUUAUUUACAACAUUUUUUAGAAUUGUUGAUAGGUGGCGCUAUAAAUGGAAAAAGUCUAUUUAUUAGCGCCAUCUAUCAACAAUUCUAAAAAUUGUUUCGAACAAAUGUUGCUUAAUUUUUCAUGACAAAUCCAAAUCUGCAAUAAAAAAUGGAGAUUGUUAUUUAAGAUUUUAGAGUUACCCCCACCCCACCUCCAGCUUGUGGAGUGGGGGGCCGUGUUUGGUGCCAUUCGACAGUUUUUUGAAAAAUAUUAAAUACGUAUUUUUUUUGUUUUUCCUUUGGAUGUGCAUUUCUCUAGAUAUUAUAGACCGUUUCUAUUAUUUACCUAUGACAUCAGAAUAAAUGUAUUUUCUUUUUCGAUUAUAGCGCCGUUCAAAAAAAUGUCUUUAAUAGAAGUUAUUUACUUUUACGUAAGGAAUCAAAAUGUGAAAUAAAACUUGGGGCCUCCAUUUAAGAUUUCAAAGUUACCCCCGCCCCACCUCUAGGAGGUAGAGUGGGGGUCGUGUUUUUUGUCAUUCGAUAGAUUUUUGAAAAUUUGAACACGUAUUUUUCAGUUCUUCGAUACCACGUUUAUUUCGAGAAAUAUUAGACCGUUCCGUUACUUUUGGGACACCCUAUAUAUUAAAUCAGUUUUUAUUAUUUGGUUAAAAAUUUAUUAGUAAUAGGUCUGGAUCCCGCGUAUGAAAAAAAAAGUUGAUUAAUAGCAAGCUGAAAAUUUGUUAAUAGCCUAAGGGUGUCUAGUCGGAUAAACUUUGAUAUAUGGGAACACUGGAACAGGGGGAGUUUUAAUUGUGGAACAGGUUAAAAAUUUGGAACGGUCAGACCACGAAAACGGCACAUUUAUUUUGUCCGACAGAACAGACUUAAACUCUCCGAACAGAGAUUAAACUCUCAUGCAAAAAUCAGACUGCUAUUUAUCACCUGUCAUUUGACAUAUUCUACAUGUUCCACUCAUUAAAACGCCCAUUUGGUGAUAAAUAGCAGUCUGAUUUUUGCAUGAGAGUUUAAUCUCUGUUCGGAGAGUUUAAGUCUGUCCUGUCGAACAAAAUACAUGUGCCGUUUUCGUGAUCUGACCGUUCCAAAAUUUUAACCUGUACCACAAUUAAAACUUCCCCUGUUCCAGUGUUCCCAUAUAUCAAAGUUUGUCCGACUAGACACCCUUAAGCUAUUAACAAAUUUUCAGCUUGCUAUUAAUCAACUUUUUUUUCAUACGCGGGAUCCAGACCUAUAAGUGGCAUCUCAGAUUGGUAGGCUGACAUUGCUUUAUUUAUAGUACAGUAGUCAUAGACGAAAAUGCCUCUGAACCUCUUAAAACCAUACAAACAAGCUAAAUGUUGCUGAAAAUUCGCUGGGACCCAAAAAAACGUCCAAAAAUGUUUGUCAUUCCUACCCCGGUGCUUCCCCAAGAAACCCUCAUCGUAGUAGGGGGGUGACUGAAAACAUUGAUUUACCAAGAAUUUGUACGCAGUAGAAAAAAAUUAUCCACAAAAAUGUAGAUGAGAUCAUUUUGAACAAAAAUGUUUAUUACCGCUUUUUUGUGUAGAAUCAACGGUUGUCUCAUAAACAACGCUUGAAACGACCGACGAUUUUUAAUGUCAGUUACGAGCGUGCAAUCAAUUUUUUUAAAUAAAAUUCUAUAUCCUAUCGAUCAAAAACAAAAUACGUUUUAAAGAUGAAGAGUGCAGCUCUUAUAUGCAGUUAUUUCAUUUUGCCGCGAAUGAAGUCAGUUUCUAUAUAACUGUUAAAGAAAUAAAGGUUGAUUGAUUGUUGCUAUUUCUUGAGCGGUCGCUAUAGGAUUUCCAUUGUUAGAGUCCAAUAUUCACAACUUAAGACAUGAACCUUCGAUUUUAAGUUUUGGCAAGAAAUACAUAUACGCUGAAUUUAAAACUGACUAAACUACUAAAAAACGCUGAAUUUAAACUUCACAUUACAAAUGACCUCAUGUCACGGGAAAAGCUUCCACGAAGACAGUAUUGGAUGUAAAUUAUAGCUGAAGUUAGAUCAUUUCAAAAUAGUUAUUUAUAAAACAGUUCAUGAAGUAUGCUUUUUGCGAACGCCCGUGAUGUUUAGAGCACGAGCGACAACGGAGCGAGUGCUAUACAUCGCGUAAGUCCGCAAAAAGUACUUCACGCACAGUUUCAUACAAUAUUUUAUCUACGAUAAACAAAUAAAAAAACUGUAACUCUUCGUCGCUGGAAUUAAUUUCUAUUCUACAAUUUUUAGAAUUUUGACAUUUAAAAAUUCUAACUAUUUUCAAACCACAAAACUGUCAAAAGUUUUGUUGUAAUUUAUUGCUCAUAUUGUCAUCACCAUGACAACGCGAAAGUUAAGGAUAUUUGAUUAUAUGGAAGUGUGUCAAAAAGAGUGCGAAAAAGUAAAUCCCAUUUAAAAUACAUUGUUACUUCACGCACACUUUAAACCCUUCACGCACUGCUAUCUAUAAAGACAGUUUUCACAAACUAAAAACUUAUACAUAAUAUGACAUAGAGUAGAUAAAACGUAUUUAUGCAAUCAAAAGUAAUCAGUUUUAAACGUUAUAGAUUUGUAAGAGAAAGCUCUAACAAUGUAAUAAUCUAAGAGCUAGUGAACCCUCCGAAUAACGGUCUUCCUGCAAGGGUAGAAAUUUGUAUAGUGAUAAUUCAUAGCACACCAAGGCUAAAAACCAUGACCUGGCAGGCAUCAGCCCUGCAAGUGUAUCUACCAGGUGAAUCGGAAAGUGCAUAGUUUGGGGAAAAAAUAAACUUUCUCCUGUAAGGUUUAAAUUUAAGUAUGUGUUUGAGUAAGUCAUUUAGAAGAAAUGUGUACAAUUCCAGGCGAUUCUGAACAGCAUAAGACCUUGCCAGGCGAGGGGAGAAAUUAGAGGUUUUUCCUAAAAUUAAUUUUUUUUGCAUCGAACAAAGUUUUUUUAGGUUUUUUGAAUCAUUCCAAACAGAAAAAGUCUUUACAGAUUUCCUCUUAGGUUAAUACUUUUUGUUAUAUAAACGAAUAAAAAUUUUGAAAAUUGCGAAAUCGGCCAUUUUUAACCCUAAAUCGGACAUUUAACUGAAAAUUUCAAUGUUGCCAAGGUAGGUAGAUAUUCUUUAAACAUUGAUUGAUUAAAUCACGAAGAGUUUUUUGCAAUACAAUAUCGAAAACCCCUUUGUUUUUUAAUUGCUAAACAAGCGGGCGCGACACUGUAGUAUAAGUGAGAACGUUUGAGUUUGCAUAUAUUCAUUAUCUCGAGAAUGGGCAAAUUUGGAGAGAAAUCCUCAGACAGGUCGAUUUUUAUUCUUAAAUUAGGACUUUUUGGCAAUAUAUAAUACUAGUGACGUCAUCCAUCUGGACGUGAUGACGUAAUCGAUGAUUUUUUAAAUGAGAGUAGGGGUUGAGUGAUAGCUUAUUUGAAAGGUUAUUUAAUUCUCUAUUGAGUAAUAUAAACAAUAAUAAAAUUAUUUAUAGAGGGUGUACAAAAAAAUUUUUUUAUUAAAUUAAUUUAGACAAAAAGAAGAAAUUUUUUUGUACACCCUUUGGAAUGAUUCAAAAAACCUAAAAAAACUUUGUUCUAUGCAAAAAAAGUUUUAGGAAAAAUCUCUAAUCUUUCCCCUCGCCUGGCAAGGUCUUAUGCUGUUCAGAAUCGCCUGUCAUUGUGCACAUUUCUUCUAAAUGACUUACUCAAACACAUACUUAAAUUUAAACCUUACAGGAGAAAGUUUAUUUUCCCCUAAACUAUGCACUUUUCAAUUCACCUGGUAGAUACACGUGCAGGGCUGAUCCAUGCCAGGUUAAGGUUUUUAGCCUUGGUGUGCUAUGAAUUAUCACUAUACAAAUUUCUAGACUUACAGGAAGACCCUUAGUCGGAGGGUUCACUAGCUCUUAAACUAUAAAUUAUAUAGUGGCCGGUCAAUGAACGUAAUAAAUUUUAUUGAUCCCAUGAAGUUCGUAAAAAAUGGCAAAAAUCGCACAACGUUUAUUUAUUUCACACUUUUAUAGAAACUGUUAUCAUUUGCGGCAAAAUGUAAAAAUGCAUUCGAAAGAUUCGAAUUCUUAGCGCCAAGAUGAUAAAAAUUUUAUUUAAAAAAUUGAUAUGGCGCGCGUAAUUGACAUUCAAAAUAAUCUUAGGUUGCUUCAAGCGUUGUUUCUAACACAACGGUUCAUUACACAUAAAACGUCCCAAAAAAUAUUUAUCUACUCUAUGUCAUAUUAUGUAUAAGUUUUUAGUUUGUGAAAACUGUCAUUAUAGAUAGCAGUGCGUGAAGGAUUUAAAGUGUGCGUGAAGUAACAAUGUAUUUUAAAUGGGACUUACUUUUUCGCACUGUUUUUAUCUUUUGCGUUGUCAUGGUGACAAUCCUUAACUUUCGCGUUGUCAUGGUGAUGACAAUAUGAGCAAUGAAUUACAACAAAAGUUUUGACAGUUUUAUGGUUUGAAAGUAGUUGGAAUUUUUAAAUGUCAAAGUUCUAAAAAUUGUAGAAUAGAAAUGAAUUCCAGUGACAAAGAGUAAUAGCUUUUUUAUUUGUUUAUCGUAGAUAAAAUAUUGUAUGAAACUGUGCGUGAAGUACCUUUUGCGAACUUACGCGAUGUAUAGCACUCGCUCCGUUAUCGCUAGCGCUCAAAAAAUCGCGUGCGUUCGCAAAAAGCAUACUUCACGAACUGUUUCAUAAAUUACUAUUAUGCAAUCAAAAAUAAUCAGUUUUAAACGUUAUAGUUUUUUAAGAGAAGGCUCUAACAAUGUAAAUUAUACAGUGGCCGGUCAAUGAACGUAAUAAAUUUUAUUGAUCCCAUCAAGUUCGUAAAAACGGCAAAAAUUACACAACGUUUAUUUAUUUCACACUUUUAUAGAAACUGUUAUCAUUUGCGGCAAAAUGUAAAAAUGCAUUCCAAAGAUUCGAAUUCUUACCGCCAAGAUGAUACAAAUUUUAUUUAAAAAAUUGAUAUGGCGCGCGUAAUUGACAUUCAAAAUAAUCGUAGGUUGCUUCAAGCGUUUUUUCUACAGCAUAGCGUACUGAUUAUUGGUAAAUCGACGUUUUCCAUUUCCACCCCCCUGCGAGGGGGAUUUCAGGGGAAGAAGCCCGGAUGUAGGAGUGGAAAACUUUUUUUCAUCUUUUUUGGGGUCCCAAAAUUGACAUUCUCACGAAAUUCAGCUUGUUUGUUGGCUUUUAAAGGUCAAAUCUCUGACGACUUAUUAUUAUCUAUAGAAAUACAAAAAAGCAUAUGAAGUAAAUAUAUUCUACCUUCUUUAUCUAUUAUAAUUUGUAAGACUAAAUUAUCUAAACUUUUUUUCCAUAUAAAGAUACAUUAGUAAAUAUCAGAGUUUCCAGGUUGCUUGUAUAUUUCAUAGUUUUGCGUAUUACCACAUUAGACUAUUAAUGUACCUACGAAUACCAGAAAAUUGACUAAACCAAAAGUUUUGAAAUUCGUUUGUUUAGCCAAGGAGAUUUUCAGUCAUGAAAGUCUUUGAUAAUAUUUAAUACUUCUUCAGUAGUUAAGGGUUCGUAGUUGUUGACAGUUAAUCGUCAUAUUUUCUCUCCAUCCAGCAUUGGUACUAAGAGCAGCUAGUGUGGAUUAGUGUAUUUAUCCAAAACCAUCUUCUUGGUUUGAGUACGAUUUAUUGACACUUUCUACAGUGGAAUUGAGUUUCCAAUUUAACGCCUUCUCGACAUGCUCAAAAAUCGUAUUGUUACUUUUCCGUUUGUUACUAACUUUGUAUAUCUUUAGUCGGACUGAGUACCUAACUGAAGAGUUUUGGUUUUAAUGUAUCCGAGCUGUGUUAUUUUCUGGAUCAUACUGUGAAUAGGUUAGGUUAGAUUAAGUUAGGUUAAAUAUGAGUAGUCUCUUUAACCAUUCUUCCACUCUACCUAAGAGGCCUAUUAUUGUGGCUCAUCCCUAGGUUAAAGUCCCUUCAGCGCAGGCUUUUUAAUAAAAUUUAUUAUGGCCUUAGUUGACGCUUCUACAAAGUCGUAGAGCUCGAUUUGAUAAUGCUCAAAUAUAUUGAGCUUUAUCCUAUCCAACGGUGGGUAGUUGAAUAGAACGUGUUUCGCCGUCUAGUCAUCAACCUGACAGAAUCUGCAAUUUGUACUUUCUGUCAGUCCGAUUUUGUGAUGUGCCCCUUGAGGCGACAUCAUGUGUCCUGUUAACAGAUCCACGAUGAUUCUCAGAUCACUCCUAUUCAUAUCUAGUAGAUCCAUUCUAGUAGAUCCAUAAAGCCCUUCGAAUAUUUAAGAAUUUUUGUUCAUACCAGGAUAAAAUCAGCCAAAAGAACAUAUCAUUCGCUGUAUAAAAACUUCCUAAAUAAAAAAGAAAUAACAAGGAAAACCAAAAUGAUAGUAUUUAAAACAAUUUACAUACCUAUCACUACAUAUGGAGCAGAGAAUUGGUAUUGAACGACAAAUAAGAAAAGAGACUGCAAGCCGCGGAAAUGAGGUAUUUAAGAAAAGUGGCGGGAGCUGGGAGAACCGAUAAAAGACGUAGCGAUGAUAUUAGAAGAUAAUUAAAAGUAAAAUCAUUAAAGUAAAAAAUUCAUGAAAAGAAAUUAAAAUGGACUGGGCACUUAUUCAGAAUGAACGACGGCAGAUAGGUUAAAAUGACAUGGGAAGCGAGGCCGAUAGGGAAAAACAGGAGAGGCCGACCAAGGAAAACGUGGAAUACCAGUGUGAUGGAAAUAUUGCAGGAUAGAGGAAAAUCGUGGCAGGAAGCCAAAGAAUAGCUAGGGACCGAAAAAAGUGGCGUAAGUUAGCAGAGAAUAACGAGUAUAGAAGACACCUCGACACCUUACGGUAUAAGAGGAUAAUCGAUUAUGUAUGUAUAUUCAUACCAGUAGUUACCUCAUAGUUCAUAGCAGUAGUUACGUUUUAUUAACUCUACCCAGUCCGAUAUUGUUCUUUUGGCUGUACUUCUUGCUAUGCCAACUACAGAUCCUGGGCCUAUAAAUGUCACUUUUUCACCUUUAGGAUCAGCAUAUUUUCCAGGAUUGCUUUAUCCAGUUACAUAGGGUAGUGAAUAUCUCUUUUGAUACUGCUGCAUCAUAAAGAAAAUUUGGUUGUGCAUUAUUAAAUGCGUGACAUCCUUAAAUGCUGCAAUAUUCUGAUUAUUCCCUUUUCUUUAUUAAUUUAAUAUGCUACCUUAUGUACAGGGUGGACAGACUAAAGCACAUAAGUCAAAAUUAUAGAGUUUCAAAAAUUGAAUAAAGCUAUUUGCAUAAAAAAAUAAUUCAAUAUUUCUUAAAAGCCUUUUCACUGAAAAGGUAGAAACGGAAAAGGUAGAACACUUUAAAUAUCUUGGGGUCUUAGUUGAUCGAACUAACGAUAAAAGCAUCAUAAUUAAUGAAAGAAUCCAGGCAGGAAACAGAACCUACUAGAAAUAAAAUAACUUCCUCAAAGAUAAGAAGCUUAGGUUCUCAGAAUAAUAAACUCAAAAUUUACAAAGCAAUUAGACCAGUAAUCAUAUAUAGUGCUGAAGUAAUAUGUCUGGCACAGAAAGAGGAAGAAAGAUUAAGGAUCCUAGGGAGGAAACUAAUUCGGGGGAUUUUAGAAAACUCAUGAAAAAUGAAGUAAGAGAACUUCUGAAAGAAGAACACAUCGUCAGAUUUAUCAAUGCACAGAGACUCAGAUGGAUGGGAUAUAUACAAAGGAGAAAUCCAGAAGCCGCUAUCAAGAAACUUACCAAAUGGAGACCUGUAUCAGGCAGACCACGAGGAAGAUCGAUAAACUAGACAGAACUAUAUAGUAUGAUGAUAAGAUUGAUUAAAAAGAUGGCAUAACCCAGACAUCCAAAGUGAAAGUUCCCCUCCAAACACCAAAUUAUUUUAUAUGGUCCACAUAGUGUUCAGAAAAAAGUCACACCAUUUUAAGCGUCGGGUUUGGGGGGGGGAGAGGGGGAAGAAAUCGGUAAAUUCGUAGUUUUUUGCGUUUUUCGUCAAUAUUUCUAAAACUAUGCGGUUUAACAUGAACAACCUACUAUACAAAAAUGUUCUACAUUAGAUUUGAAACAAAAAAUGUCCAAUGCAUAAUCCUUCUAAAAUGAACGGUUCCAAAGUUACAGAGGUAGUAUAGUAUAAUUGGUCCAAAAAAAGGCCUAACCCAGACAUCAAAAAUAAAAGUUUUGCUCCAACACCAAAUUGUUCUAUAUGGUCCACAUAUGGUUCAGGAAAAAGUUACACCAUUUUGAGCGUCCGGUUUGGGGGGAGAUGGGGGAGAAGUCGAUAAAUUGGUAUUUUUUUACGUUUCUCUAAACGUCAAUAUUUCUAAAACUAUGCUUUAGCGUAAACAAUAUUUUGUACAAAAAUGUUCCACAUAAAAUUUAAAACAAAAAAGGUCUGAUACAUAAUUCUUAUAAAAUCAACGGUUCCAGAGUUACGGAGGGUAAAAGUUGAGGUUAUCGAUACUUUGUAUAUUUUUUGGGCAAUUGAUGAUGACUUUGGGUGGUCAGGUUGACGUUUCUUUAAGGGCUUAUCACUAACAUACCAUCGGCCACUGAAAUAGCAAAUUCUGUUAAAGAAAAUUUUUUUCAAUCAGUAAAAAUAUUAUAAAUUGUCCAAAAAAUAUAAAAAGUAUCGAAAACCUCCACUUUUCACCCUCCGUAACUCUGGAAGUUUACUUUAUAACAAUUAUGUAUAGGACCUUUUUUGUUUUAAAUUUUAUGUAGAACAUUUUUGUAUAGAAAGUUAUUUACGCUAAAGCAUAGUUUUAGAAAUAUUGACGAAAAACGUAAAAAAACUACUAACUUAACGACUUCUCCCCCAUCUACCCCCCCCCCCCCCCCCCCACCCAAAGCGGACGCUCAAAAUGGUGUGACUUUUUUCUGAACAUUAUGUGGACCAUAUAGAACAAUUUGGUGUUGGAGGAGAACUUUUACUUUGUAUGUUAAGGUUUGGCCUUUUUUGAACCAAUUAUACUAUACUACCUCCGUAACUUUGAAACCGUUUAGUUUAGAAGGGUUAUGCAUAGGGCCUUUUUUAUUUCUAAUUUAGUGUAGAACAUUUUGAUAUAAAAGGUUGUUUAUGCUAAAUAGUGUUAGUUUUAGAAAUAUUUACGAAAAACCUAAAAAACUAAGAGAGUCGAAGACCAUAAGCAAAAACAGGAACGAAUGGAGAAAAAUUGUAGAAGAUGCCAAGUCACUAACAAAGUCAUCAUAGCCAGAAUGAUCGCCAACGUUCGGAACGGACAGGCACCCUAAGAAGAAAAGAGACAAGAUGCAUCUGAUUAGGUCAUCGAGCAGCAAUAGUUUCAUACCACACAUAACAUAUUGCUCUUCCUUUUUUAUUGUCAUGUAUGGUCAAAUUGGACGUUCCACAACUGACGUUUACAAAAAGCUACAGAAUAAGUCAAAGAUGGACUUGGUAAACACUGUUCUAAAUAAAUCAAAUGUAUACACUCGUGCGGUAGUAUCAUUUUGAUACAUCUUUGUGUCGUUUUGUGCACCAGGUGCACCAGGCGUCGGUUGUGACGGCGUAUUCUUGUUCUGCGACCCCAAAGAGCCCGAGUAAUCUGUUUGCAUCAAUUUAGUACCGAAAAUCCUCGAAACUUCAGAUGACGUGCCUUGGCAGUGAAUCUGGACCCCAGGUGCUCCGAUGGUCAGUUCUGAUGGUGUAUUCAUCUUCAGCAACCCCAAAAACCCCUGAGUUGCAAAAUCUGACCGUUAAUACACUUAUUUUGACAUGUUUAUUCACUUUUAUAUGCAUUUUAUCCCCUUUAAAAUGCAACUAGGUAUUUCCAUCCAUUUUUUUUAUAGCAGACUUUUUUCCUGACAUCAUCCUGACCAAAAUUCAAAAAGUUUUAGUCUCUAGGCCCGUAGACAAAACAUGUUUUAAGUAGUAAUUUAAAUAUCUGUAUAUUCUUAAACAAGUAAGACGAUAAUGUCAAGCAAUUGAGGUACCUAACAACUUUAGUCAUGAGUCAUGCCUAUAAAUCAGCAAAACUUAAUAUUUAUAUCAGGUGUACUUUUUCACAUAAUAUUUAUAACGUCUAAAGAUUUAUAGGAAUUGAAAGGUUGAAAAUGUAGGCUACUUAAAAGCAAUGUGAAAUAAACGUGUAUUCUUGAGUCAGUCGGUGGAGAAAAAAUAUAUGGACAUGUGCAUGUACAAAAAGAAAAAUCGAUUUUUUUUACUUAGGUGCUUUAGUCUGUCGGCUCUUUUCAUUUUUUUUGAUGCUCCUGUACAUACAUUUUACAAUUUUAUUGUUGGAUGUAAGAUUCGUGCCAGCCUGUAUUAAAAGUUAUUUGAGUAAAUUAAUUCUCAAAAUUCUCAAAGGUAGUCCUGCGUUACCACAAAUUGCAAUGGCAUUAGUAUUAGUAUUUUCGAUUCUAAAGUAGUUAGUUUAAUUUGUUUGCACAUUUUCAGCAAUUCCAUGUCCUUCACAACCUUUGAAAAUAUUUAAAAGAGACCACACACAAGCAAAUUAAGUUUAACUUUAAACGACCUUGUUUAUAAGUUCCACUACAUUAGUCAAAAAUCGUCAUUACCAGUCCAUAAUUGUCCACUGCUAAACAUAGGCUUCCUCUAAAAACUUCUAUUGGAUGGCCUUUCCGAGUUUUGAAAUAUAUGACGUAUUUGUAUAAUUAUGUUAUACAAGUUACACAAAGAGGCUUAAAAGUGAUUCAGAUCACCUUAUUUUUAUUGCAUGUGUGUGUUUUUUUUUCAAGUAAGUAGAAAAUUGGAAAGAAGUUGAGUCAUGUUAUAAUUAUUCCGAAUUCUUGUAUGGGAGUGACUAACCUACCAAACGAGAAAAUAUUUUAAAGGCAACCUUAGUUACGAUUUUUUACGAUGGCUCAUAAUUUUUAAACCCUCUUAAAAGUUUCUUUUCCUUCUUGUGCCUACCGUUACGAAUGUUGGCAAUCAUUCUGGCAAUGAUAAUCUUAUUAGCUGCUGCCUUGAAAAGCCCUGUAGGGGAUGUCGCAAACCAGGUCCUCAAGCUCCUGAACCAAUAUAUUCUUCUUCUUCCGACGCUUCUUUUACCAUUCACCUUUCCCUGCAAAAUGCAUUAUAACAGGUUACAAGGUUGUAUAUUAUUAUUUUGUUUCAUUUCUUGUGAUGUGGCCGAAAUAGUCUAAUUUUGUUCUUUUUACCGUGCACACUAUUUCCUUCUCUUUGUUAAGUUUUGGAGUAUUUUGGCAUUUGAUAUUUUGUCCAUCUAUGAUAUCUAAAGAAUUAUUCUAUAUGUCCACAUUUCUUGUUGCUUCCAAGACUCUACUCCAUGGAUAAUAAGAUGGAGAUUAUAUAACAUCGGAGGAGUCUGAGUUUCAGUUCUAAAUUCAAAUUGUGUAAUUUGAACACCUUGGACAUUUGGAUGAACGCUGCCCUUGCUUUUUCUAGUCAAUUCUAAAAGUUUAGUAGGCUAAAUCAAUGUAAGAGUAGAUAAAUGAGGUGGAAAAUUUUGAUUGAAUUUUUGUAAAGAUUUUAUUUUUGGACAUAAAGCAUUUUUUAUUUUGUAGUUACUAUUACUUAUUUAUUUUAAUUUUGUAUUUUUUUAGUAAUCGAUAUCUAUAUAUUCUUGGUAUGUGUACUGUAUGUGUGUACCAUGCAUACCUAAAUAUAGAACAGAAAAAUUACUGUUUCAGAUGCUCCUUUACUGAGCAUUGUUUGGCUGUGAAAAUACAUAGAUUAUAACUCAAUAUUGUAAAAUUAAAAGCCAAAAAUUGUAAACGUUCUUAAAAGUACUGUGUAAAAAAACGUUCUGAGAAAUUUCAUAAUUUUUUCGUAAUUUUUUUAGGAAUUGAAUUUUGUGAUUUAUUUCAUUAUUGUUCUGACAUUAUUAGUAAUAUAUACAUUGUUAAACAGG